AUGCCAGACUCCUACGGGAGGCAGCAGUGAGGAAUAUUGGUCAAUGGGCUUACGCCUGAACCAGCCAAGUCGCGUGAGGGAAGACUGCCCUAUGGGUUGUAAACCUCUUUUGUCAGGGAGCAACGCCGGCUACGUGUAGCCGGACUGAGAGUACCUGAAGAAAAAGCAUCGGCUAACUCCGUGCCAGCAGCCGCGGUAAUACGUAGGUGACAAGCGUUGUCCGGAUUUACUGGGUGUAAAGGGCGCGUAGGCGGAUGUGCAAGUCAGUCGUGAAAUACCGGGGCUCAACCCCGGGGCUGCGAUUGAAACUGCACACCUUGAGUAUCGGAGAGGAAAGCGGAAUUCCUAGUGUAGCGGUGAAAUGCGUAGAUAUUAGGAGGAACACCAGUGGCGAAGGCGGCUUUCUGGACGACAACUGACGCUGAGGCGCGAAAGUGUGGGGAGCAAACAGGAUUAGAUACCCCCGUACAA
RNAcentral lists this ribosomal RNA (471 nucleotides) under uncultured bacterium. Its description in RNAcentral is "bacterial SSU rRNA". It matches the Rfam family "Bacterial small subunit ribosomal RNA", at positions 328 to 794 of the family's 1533-position model. The record is from RNAcentral.